UAACGCGUGGGUGACGUACCUGUUGGUGGGGAAUAACUGCCCGAAAGGGUGGCUAAUUCCGCAUACGCCCGAUUCUUCGAUGAGUUGGGGAAAGCUUCGCAAGAGGCGCUGAUGGAGCGGCCCGCGUUCGAUUAGCUGGUUGGUGGGGUAACGGCCUACCAAGGCGACGAUCGAUAGCUGGUCUUAGAGGAUGAUCAGCCAGACUGGGACUGAGACACGGCCCAG
Molecule: ribosomal RNA, 225 nt
Filed under: uncultured bacterium
Lineage: Bacteria
Description: partial 16S ribosomal RNA
Rfam family: Bacterial small subunit ribosomal RNA
Source: RNAcentral